This 465-nucleotide ribosomal RNA is filed under the name uncultured bacterium. RNAcentral's name for it is "partial 16S ribosomal RNA". It matches the Rfam family "Bacterial small subunit ribosomal RNA", at positions 28 to 507 of the family's 1533-position model. The record is from RNAcentral.
GACGAACGCUGGCGGCGUGCUUAACACAUGCAAGUCGAACGGAAAGGCCCCUUUGGGGGUACUCGAGUGGCGAACGGGUGAGUAACACGUGAGUAACCUGCCCUUGACUUCGGGAUAACUUCAGGAAACUGGGGCUAAUACCGGAUAGGAAUCCUUGCUGCAUGGUGGGGGUUGGUAAGCUUCGGCGGUUUUGGAUGGACUCGCGGCUUAUCAGCUUGUUGGUGGGGGAGUGGCUUACCAAGGCUUUGACGGGUAGCCGGCCUGAGAGGGCGACCGGCCACAUUGGGACUGAGAUACGGCCCAGACUCCUACGGGAGGCAGCAGUGGGGAAUAUUGCACAAGGGGCGGAAGCCGGAUGCAGCAACGCCGCGUGCGGGAUGACGGCCUUCGGGUUGUAAACCGCUUUCAGCAGGGGCGAAGCUUGUGGUGACGGUACCUGCAGAAGAAGCACCGGCUAACUACGUG